Unclassified non-coding RNA from Otolemur garnettii (small-eared galago), 102 nucleotides. It matches the Rfam family "Y RNA". Rfam says of the family: Y RNAs are components of the Ro ribonucleoprotein particle (Ro RNP), in association with Ro60 and La proteins. The Y RNAs and Ro60 and La proteins are well conserved, but the function of the Ro RNP is not known. The record is from Ensembl. Lineage: Eukaryota; Metazoa; Chordata; Mammalia; Primates; Galagidae.
GACUGAUCUGAGUGCAUUGGUGUUUAUAACGAAUUGGUCACAACCGGUUGCAAAUAUCUUUGUUCCUUCUCCACUCCCACUGCUUCACUUGACUAGUCUUAA